GUUCCCGUAGUGAAAUGGUAAUCACAUAGACCUUAUACAGUUUGUAUGCGUGAGUAGAGUUAAGUCUACAUCCCGGGAUCAAUACCCGGCGGGAAUA
RNAcentral lists this transfer RNA (97 nucleotides) under Ostreococcus mediterraneus virus 1. RNAcentral's name for it is "tRNA-Ile". It matches the Rfam family "tRNA". From Rfam's summary of the family: Transfer RNA (tRNA) molecules are approximately 80 nucleotides in length. Their secondary structure includes four short double-helical elements and three loops (D, anti-codon, and T loops). Further hydrogen bonds mediate the characteristic L-shaped molecular structure. tRNAs have two regions of fundamental functional importance: the anti-codon, which is responsible for specific mRNA codon recognition, and the 3' end, to which the tRNAs corresponding amino acid is attached (by aminoacyl-tRNA synthetases). tRNAs cope with the degeneracy of the genetic code in two manners: having more than one tRNA (with a specific anti-codon) for a particular amino acid; and 'wobble' base-pairing, i.e. permitting non-standard base-pairing at the 3rd anti-codon position. The record is from RNAcentral. RNAcentral also lists the same sequence under 11 other names. Lineage: Varidnaviria; Bamfordvirae; Nucleocytoviricota; Megaviricetes; Algavirales; Phycodnaviridae.